CCCCCCCAGCAUCCCCUGCAUCCAGGGGGGGGUAUAAGACCCUUGAGACCCCCACUCAAACCCCCAGCCUUAUCCCCCCCCCCCCAUGUCCCCUGCAUCAAGGUGGGGGGGGUCAGGGGGGUAUAAGACCCCUUGAGACCCCCACUCAUAUAUAGAGACUAUACACCCCCCCCCCGUGUUCCCUGCAUCAAUGGGGGGGGUUGGGGGGAUAUAAGACCCCCUUGAGACCCCCACUCAUAUAUAGAGACUAUACCCCCCCCAUCAUGUCCCCUGCAUCAAUGUGGGGGGGGGUUGGGGGGAUAUAGGACCCCCUUGAGACCCCCACUCAUAUAUAGAGACUAUACACCCCCCACACACAGCAAGGGGGGUGUUUGGGGUGGUAUAAGACCCUUGAGACCCCCACUCAUAUAUAGAGACUACACACCCCCCCCCCCAUGUCCCCUGCAUCAAUGGGGGGGGUUGGGGGGAUAUAGGACCCCCUUGAGACCCCCCCUCAUUAUACCCCCCCCCCAUGUCCCCUGCAUCAAUGUGUGGGGGGGGUCAGGGGGGUAUAAGACCCUUGAGACCCCCACUCAUAUAUAGAGACUAUACACCCCCCCCCCAUGUCCCCUGCACCAAGGGGGGGGGUUGGGGGGAUAUAGGACCCCCUUGAGACCCCCCCUCAUUAUACCCCCCCACCCAUGUCCCCUGCAUCAAUGUGGGGGCUGGGGGAUAUAGGACCCCCUUGAGACCCCCCCCAUAUAUACAGACUAUACCCCCCCCCCAGCAUCCCCUGCAUCCAGGGGGGGGUUGGGGGGAUAUAGGACCCCUUGAGACCCCCCCUCAUUAUACCCCCCCCCCAUGUCCCCUGCAUCAAUGGGGGGGUUGGGGGGAUAUAGGACCCCCUUGAGACCCCCCCUCAUUAUACCCCCCCACCCAUGUCCCCUGCAUCAAUGGGAGGGGUUGGGGGUGUAUAAGACCCCCAUGAGACCCCCACUCAUAUACAUAGACUAUACCCCCACACACAUGUCCCUUGCAUCAAUGGGGGGGUUGGGGGGGUAUAAGACCCCCUUGAGACCCCCCCCCAUAUAUACAGACUAUACCCCCCCACCCCUGUGUCCCCUGCAUCAAUGGGGGGGGUUGGGGGGGUAUAAGACCCCUUGAGACCCCCACUCAUAUAUAGAGACUAUACCCCCCCCACCCCUGUGUUCCCUGCAUCAAUGUGGGGGGUCAGGGGGGUAUAAGACCCCCUUGAGAAUCCCCUCAUAUAUACAGUUUAUACCCCCCCUCCCCAUGUCCCCUGCAUCAAUGGGGGGGGUUGGGGGGAUAUAGGACCCCCUUGAGACCCCCCCCUCAUAUAUACAGACUAUACCCCCCCCCACCCCUGUGUCCCCUGCAUCAAUGGGGGGGUAUAAGACCCUUGAGACCCCCACUCAUAUACAUAGAUUAUACCCCCCCCCAGCAUCCCCUGCAUCCAGGGGGGGGUUGGGGGGAUAUAGGACCCCCUUGAGACCCCCCCUCAUAUACACAGACCAGACCCCCUCCCCCCCAGUGCUGACCAUUGGCUGCCAGGCAGUAGGUGCGGCCCAGGAGGUGCAGGGGGGACGUGGGGCUGAAAUGGGUGCGGGGCCGCAGGGUCCAGCCUGGAGAGACCCCCCCCCAAAUUAAACAGCAUUAGAACCACAAUGGAAAACGAGCCCCCAUUAAUCCCCCAUAGCCCCAUAGGACCCCCAUUAACCCCCAUAGGAUCCCAUUAACCCCCCAUAGAGAACCCCAUUAACCCCAUAGGACCCUCAAUUAACCCCAUAGGACCCCAUAACCCCAUUAAGCCCCCAUUUAGCCCCC
Molecule: long non-coding RNA, 1824 nt
Organism: Coturnix japonica (Japanese quail)
Lineage: Eukaryota; Metazoa; Chordata; Aves; Galliformes; Phasianidae
Source: Ensembl